AUUGAACGCUGGCGGCAGGCCUAACACAUGCAAGUCGAGCGGAUGAAGGGAGCUUGCUCCUGGAUUCAGCGGCGGACGGGUGGGUAAUGCCUAGGAAUCUGCCUGGUAGUGGGGGAUAACGUCCGGAAACGGGCGCUAAUACCGCAUACGUCCUGAGGGAGAAAGUGGGGGAUCUUCGGACCUCACGCUAUCAGAUGAGCCUAGGUCGGAUUAGCUAGUUGGUGGGGUAAAGGCCUACCAAGGCGACGAUCCGUAACUGGUCUGAGAGGAUGAUCAGUCACACUGGAACGGAGACAAGGUCCAGACUCCUACGGGAGGCAGCAGUGGGGAAUAUUGGACAAUGGGCGAAAGCCUGAUCCAGCCAUGCCGCGUGUGUGAAGAGGGUCUUCGGAUUGUAAAGCACUUUAAGUUGGGAGGAAGGGCAGUAAGUUAAUACCUUGCUGUUUUGACGUUACCAACAGAAUAAGCACCGGCUAACUUCGUGC
Molecule: ribosomal RNA, 485 nt
Filed under: uncultured bacterium
Lineage: Bacteria
Description: partial 16S ribosomal RNA
Rfam family: Bacterial small subunit ribosomal RNA
Source: RNAcentral